This is a long non-coding RNA of Pogoniulus pusillus (Red-fronted tinkerbird), 847 nucleotides long. RefSeq lists it as uncharacterized. The record is from RefSeq and is a predicted model, not a curated record. The transcript is spliced from 3 exons. NCBI's taxonomy places the organism in Eukaryota, Metazoa, Chordata, Aves, Piciformes, Lybiidae.
UAGCUCAUGGGUGCUAAGUCUGUGUUAUUGAGGCUGAGUUUUCUCUAGGAGUUUGGAUUCUCGAAAGUUUUGCGGCGGCAGGACGGCAAGGGGCUGUUCGGAAAAAGGUGGAGAGCAGUGGCAGGACUGCAGGGGCUGCUCCGGGGGAAGGCGGAGGGCGGCGGGAGAGCGGCGGCGGGACGGCAGGGGUCGACCGGAGGAGGCAGCAGGGGUUUGUUUCCUCGCUCCAACAGGUUUGUGGUUUGGAAGGCUGUCUGACCCUCGCGGACACCCGCACAGGCUGUUCCGUGCUCCUGCAGGAGGGAGCUUAAUUGCUUUCGCCAAAAUCAAGUUGGAGAGAUGUGUGGAGCCUCAGCCACAAACCCUGACUGUUGGGGGAUGCUUUGAUAGCAGAAUGCGGAGCUGCUGGAAACCCAGCUCCUCCUUGCAAGUGGUUCAGAAUGGGACUCCCUUUGGAAAAUGGGGACAGAAACAUCUCUCUGAGAAUGAAGAUUAUGGAGGGGAAACUGAGGUGACUUCAGAGCAGAGAAGUGAUAUUUUGGAGGAAAAAGCUGAACAGGUCUAUUGGGAAGGAAGCAAAAAAUCUGGAGGAAAAAUCUGAGGUAAACAAGAGGACACAGGUGACAUAGGGGAAAAAAGUGAGUUAGUCUCUAGGGGAUAAAAAUGAAGACUGUAGGAGGGAAAAGCUGAGGUGAUUGGGUGGGACAGAGCUGACAUUAUGCAUGAAAAAACUUAGGGUAAUCCAUAGGGGAGACCAUGACCAUUUUGGAGGAAAAUCCCGAGGUAGGUGAGGGUAUGUGGGUAACGUAUUAAAAGAGAGACCUAAGGUAGUGUCUGUGAAACAAGA